GGGGGAUAUUGCACAAUGGAGGAAACUCUGAUGCAGCGACGCCGCGUGAGUGAAGAAGUAUUUCGGUAUGUAAAGCUCUAUCAGCAGGGAAGAUGAUGACGGUACCUGACUAAGAAGCCCCGGCUAACUACGUGCCAGCAGCCGCGGUAAUACGUAGGGGGCAAGCGUUAUCCGGAUUUACUGGGUGUAAAGGGAGCGCAGGCGGUUUUGCAAGUUGAGAGUGGAAGCAGGGGGCUCAACCCCCUGACUGCUCCCAAAACUGUAAAACUUGAGUAUGGGAGAGGCAGGCGGAAUUCCUAGUGUAGCGGUGAAAUGCUUAGAUAUUAGGAAGAACAUCGGUGGCGAAGGCGGCCUGCUGGACCAAAACUGACGCUGAGGCUCGAAAGCGUGGGUAGCAAACAGGAUUAGAUACCCUGGUAGUCCACGCUGUAAACGAUGAAUACUAGGUGCUGGGAGGCAUAAGCUUUUCGGUGCCGUCGCAAACGCAUUAAGUAUUCCACCUGGGGAGUACGUUCGCAAGAAUG
RNAcentral lists this ribosomal RNA (524 nucleotides) under uncultured bacterium. RNAcentral's name for it is "bacterial SSU rRNA". It matches the Rfam family "Bacterial small subunit ribosomal RNA", at positions 356 to 896 of the family's 1533-position model. The record is from RNAcentral.